RNAcentral lists this ribosomal RNA (253 nucleotides) under uncultured bacterium. Its description in RNAcentral is "partial 16S ribosomal RNA". It matches the Rfam family "Bacterial small subunit ribosomal RNA", at positions 524 to 776 of the family's 1533-position model. The record is from RNAcentral.
UACGAAGGGGGCUAGCGUUGCUCGGAAUCACUGGGCGUAAAGCGCACGUAGGCGGAUUGUUAAGUCAGGGGUGAAAUCCUGGAGCUCAACUCCAGAACUGCCUUUGAUACUGGCGAUCUCGAGUCCGGGAGAGGUGAGUGGAACUGCGAGUGUAGAGGUGAAAUUCGUAGAUAUUCGCAAGGACACCAGUGGCGAAGGCGGCUCACUGGCCCGAUACUGACGCUGAGGCACGAAAGCGUGGGGAGCGAACAGG